RNAcentral lists this ribosomal RNA (301 nucleotides) under uncultured bacterium. Its description in RNAcentral is "partial 16S ribosomal RNA". It matches the Rfam family "Bacterial small subunit ribosomal RNA", at positions 509 to 809 of the family's 1533-position model. The record is from RNAcentral.
CAGUCGCCGCGGUAAUACGGAGGGAGCUAGCGUUGUUCGGAAUUACUGGGCGUAAAGCGCGCGUAGGCGGUUACUCAAGUCAGAGGUGAAAGCCCGGGGCUCAACCCCGGAACUGCCUUUGAAACUAGGUGACUAGAAUCUUGGAGAGGUCAGUGGAAUUCCGAGUGUAGAGGUGAAAUUCGUAGAUAUUCGGAAGAACACCAGUGGCGAAGGCGACAUACUGGAUCAUUACUGACGCUGAGGCUCGAAAGCGUGGGGAGCAAACAGGAUUAGAUACCCCCGUAGUCCCUGUCUCUUAUAA